Callorhinchus milii (elephant shark) is the source of this 2592-nucleotide long non-coding RNA. RefSeq lists it as uncharacterized. The record is from RefSeq and is a predicted model, not a curated record. The transcript has 4 exons. NCBI's taxonomy places the organism in Eukaryota, Metazoa, Chordata, Chondrichthyes, Chimaeriformes, Callorhinchidae.
UUAUGCUUGGCCUGCAGGGGUUUUGUGACAUCUACCAAAAAAUAUCCCACCGCUUGAGGUUGUGCUUUGGAAGCCUAGAGACUAAAAUGUCAUCAUGCAUACUCUACUACAAAAUGCGUGGAAUGAUGCAUGCCCUCUGAUCUCCACAUCCCUAUUCAAAUAGACUUUGUCACCAGCUCUGGGAUAAGCAGGACCGAGACAUAACGGAAAGAAACGGAAUAUAAUUAGUAUGAGUUGGCCAUUGUCCACUCUGGUUGAGUCUCUAAACAGAUAGGCAAUACCAUAUUUUUGAGGAACACCAUUUUGUCAGUGGAACAGAGUUCUGCUAUUCCUGGUGGUUGUUAAAGAUCCUAAGACACUGUUCAGAAAACAGGAAGGAAUUUCUCUUGGGUGUCCUAUCCAGCAAACUUCCAGAUUAAUUGGAAAUGAACAAUUCAUCAUAUUAUUCCAAUCGGGUGAAGGUAUCUGGCAAUGACUAUGAUCUGAGAGGAAUAUGGGAGAAGAGGAUUCAAAAGCAGGAAGAGUGGCUACAGCAGGAACAAAUGCGGGUGGAUAAGAGUGCCCUGAACAAGCUCAUCAAAGAGUGGAACCAGAGACUUGAAAGCAAAAGAAAACUGAUGCAAAACAUCCACGACGAUGAUAAGAAGAAAAAUAAACCUGUGGUAUCAAUUGAAGCUCCUGUUCAGCAAGUGCCUUCGAGUGCUUGAGAUUAUUUAAGAUGCUUUUGGGUCGUUUAAUUAAGGCUUGCAUGCAACCAUGUUGUUAAGAGACAAAUGUUUGCCGAUGUCUAGCUAGUCAACUCACUGUGUAAAUGUAUCGAUUUAGAAUAGUGCAGGAUCCUAGAUUCCCUGUUACAUGAGGUCUCAUGUAUUGCAGCAUAUUAAGGAUGAAAACGUGUAAUUCACAAACCAAAGUCUCAGUGCUAACAAUGACAUAUGGUUUGAGUUCUGCUUUUGGGCCAUUUCGAGUGAAGGCCCCAAAUAACUGACAAAAGAUUGGAAAACAAAAUUCCGGAGCAAAAUGACCUUCGUCAGCCUUUCGGAUUGUGAUUUUUUUCUAAAUAAGUUUGGGAGCAAAUCCUCCAAUUUCGGUCGCAACCUGGCGUCGUUGUCAGUGACUUCCUGUUUACAAACACCACCUUUACCUUCUGAAAGCACACAACUAUUUAAGCUAUUCACCAAAACUCCAUCAUGUCUGCUGACAUCUCCAAUAUUUCAAUUCCCCAGCAAUGGAGGCAACAUUUCCACCAAUUUAAAAUAACCAUUUCUCUCUGGGACACUUUUCCACUGGUUGAGAUUAAACUGUAAACCUGAAGAGUGACUAAAAAGAUUCGCAAAUUAUCACUCAAAUCAAUUAAUUUUCUGCCCUCGUUCCAAUAUGUCACUGACAUAUACCACAGGAUGCUUCAAAGGCAGAACUCUACAUGUAACCCCAUGGCCAUUCUUCACAUGUAAAGGCAUGUAAUGAAUGUUGGCAGGCCAUUUGACCGUGGGGGAAGGGAGAGAGAUCACUUUUGAGUCCAAUCUUGUCCUCAUAUAAUGUUCAAUGCUCAGGCUCCCAAGUUGAUAUAUUUUAAAGUGAAAUACGCUGUGUUGUUAUUUGUUCACAUGUGAGCAUUUUCCAUCAGAGAUCACUGAAUAGCGAUCAGAUACAGGCGCCCUGGCUUAUUUAUCUCCCCCAAGUCAAGAGAAUCAAUUGUAGCACCUUACCACUAUCGUAACUAAGAUCAGUUCACCCAGCACAGAACAGGGAUUAAAUCUUCCUGAUCUGCAUGGCUCGUAUUAUACACACUGAACCAUUGUGUCCUGGGUACGAAGCACUUUUUUAGAAAAUUACACAGACAGCUAAGAAUGUCAAUGUGGCCCAAUUACUAAUUACUGUUGGCUUUGUCCUUUGUCUGGUCAAAUUUUUAGUUUUAAUACCUAAACUAUGGCCUAAGGGCAAAGCUACUGCCCUUCACAAAGAGAACAACAUCAACUAAACAUGAAUUUGUAGAGUACUCUUCAUGUGAAGGAACAUCUCAAAGUCAUCGUAAUAAUGUAAUGUUGGUCAUUGAGAAGGAAAUGAGAGAUUUAAAGAUGUACCCACAUACACACAUACCUACUAAUUAAAGUUGCUAGAAGAGAUAUUUUUAAGCGUAAUUUGAAGCCAGGAAGUAAGGUAUUAAGGGAAGGUGAUUUUGGAGUUCCAGAGGACAGUGCAGAAUAGCUGAAGGUAAGUUCAACAGUGGUGGAGCAAAGGGUGUGGGGAAUGAGCAAGAGAUCAGAGUCAGUAAAGUGCUGGUCGUGGCCUAGAAUGAGGGCUGGAGAAGAUUGAAUAGGUAGUUUCAGUGAGAUCAGGUGUUGGGUGCCAAUAAAGUUUGGCCAAAUGGGGGUAAUGAGUGUGGAGAGCUUUGUACAGGAGAAAACUCAGGCUGCAGAGUUCUAGAUCUGUUGCAUUUGAAAUUGGUCAUUCACUUCCUGACUGUUUGUAAAACGUUGCUGUGUACACAGUGACUGCCACCUUCACCUGCAAGUACAGACACUAGACAUUACAGUAAUUCCUGUGAGGUAUGUUGAGACACUUUGAUGAUAUCAUGAGGCCCUAUAUCAA